AAAUAGGCAGCAAAGCUGACAGCGAACAGAGCAGAGGGGACACAUGUCUUUCCUCCUGCUUCCAUGGGGCUGCCUGUGCACUUUUACCUUGGGUGAGCAGAGCGGAUGUAUGUGUGUGUGAGCAUAUGUGUCAGUCUGUCUGUGAGUUUGUUAAACGCUACAAGGCCACAGUUGGUUGAAAAGGCUUGGAACUUCUCAAACUGGCUUUACUUUUCCUUUCUACAGUGCUCAGGGUUAACACAGUACAUCCUUGUCAUGACUGUGGGAGUUCCCCGAAUGCAUGUGUUUCAAGUCUAAAUACUGAAUAUAUAUAUUGGUUUAUUUUCCAACUUAAACAAUGUCUCCUACAGCAUGAAGUGAAGGGUUGCGUUGCGUGCCAUGCAUUCAGGUUCAUUUGUAGCUUUUGUUGACGGUGCAUGUCUUUGAAAGCAUGUGUAAUCAAGAUUACCACAGAAGUCACAUAUGGAGAGAAACAUUGGACAUGUACAGCAUUGGGUUUUGCAUUUCUAGUGUUGAUACCUGGGUGUUGCUUCUAGCCCUCAACCCUGCCCGCUCCUCCCUGACCCAAGUUUCUUGUUAAAGUAGUAAGUGCAUACUUUUUUUUUGUGAUAAAACUCUUUAAAAGUUCAUUUUAAUAUGUUAAUAGUAUUCCUAAUUUGUGCUGCAAACAUGGCUCUGAGCCUUAUCAUAAGUUACGUUUUCCUUAACUUAAGCAUAGUUUUAGGAAGAAAUAUGAUUGGCUUCUGUCUUACACACAAUCUUUUCUACUUCAUUAUCUGACUCUGCUUUGUUAUUCGAACCGGAAACCGUACUUGAGUUGUAAACUAGACAGUGAGAAACACUUGGCUUCUUUCUGCUGUAUGAUGUUCUCGUUACCCAGUAACUUGAAUAUUGUUUAAUGUGCUGUAAGACAUUGUUGAGAUUAUCUCCGCUGUUUAAAAUGCUAAUGUACAAAUGUGAAUAGACACUUAUCUAUAACAUGGGUAAGUUUUGUUUCGCCUAUAAUAGAUGUUUAUAAAAAAAAUUGAGUGAGGGGACAAUUGGUCUUUUGGUUUUUAUCUCCUUACCUCCCCUUCCCCAAAUUUUUUCUCCCCUCUCCCCUCCCCCCUUUUUUGCUUGUACAGGUUGCACUAUUAAAAAAUUGAGAUUGUAUAAAUCUGGUUUAAAACUACAAGACAACAAAGUCUUGUAGAUGUUGAAUAAAAAAGUUAUUAUACUAAAAAAAAAAAAAAAAA
Molecule: long non-coding RNA, 1235 nt
Filed under: Rattus norvegicus (Norway rat)
Lineage: Eukaryota; Metazoa; Chordata; Mammalia; Rodentia; Muridae
Description: long non-coding RNA NONRATT011708
Source: RNAcentral